GUAGGCUAGGCAGUGAGAGACUGGGGUUGUUGAGAAACUCCUCAGUGCUCUAUGCUAGUGCAGAGCAGAGAGUGACCUUCAUUUCCUCCAUCCUGGCCGAGUGCCCUUUCUCCCCUGAGCUGGGGACACCAAGACAAGCCAAGAAAAUCAUCCCCUGAACACGCGAAGCUAGAAGCUCCCCUGCUGAUCCUCUCACUGCGCAUAGCACGCGAGAUCUUAGUUCCCCGACCAGGUAUCAAACCCAUACUCCCUGCGGUGGAAGCACUGAGUCUUAACCACUGGACUGCCAGUUAAAAAAAAAAGUGAGUCCUUUAAUGGCUAUAUAUCACAGCAAGAGGAAGCAACCAGAAAAAUAAAGGAACAGAGUGAACCGGUGAAUACAUCUCACAGAACAGCCUUUGCCUUCUCUCUAGCUAUGGAGCCAAGGAAGCAACUUCUGCUUCCAACACUACAAAGAAUUUCAUAUAUCCUUUGCUCAGA
Molecule: long non-coding RNA, 480 nt
Organism: Cervus elaphus (red deer)
Lineage: Eukaryota; Metazoa; Chordata; Mammalia; Artiodactyla; Cervidae
Exons: 3
Source: RefSeq, a predicted model, not a curated record